AUGCGUGUGUAGUAGUGCUGUACUGUAAGUAUGUGAUACCUGAUGUGUCUACACUGAUGUGUCGUAUCUACUGCUAUUUAUAUUAGUAAAACUGCAAAUAUAUAAACGAGAUAAUGCCAAGUACAUGUUGCAUUGUUAAUUGCAAUAAUACGAAUAAAAAAAGAUAUCACUUAUUUAAAUUUCCGAUAAAACGUCCAGAGAUUUAAAAAAAAUAGAUUUGUGCAAUCGGAGGAAAUUUUACACCAAAAAAACACCAUGUAAUCUGUAGUGCUCACUUUUUAC
Molecule: long non-coding RNA, 282 nt
Filed under: Harpegnathos saltator (Jerdon's jumping ant)
Lineage: Eukaryota; Metazoa; Arthropoda; Insecta; Hymenoptera; Formicidae
Description: uncharacterized LOC105183084
Source: RNAcentral